GUGCCCACUUUGGCAGCACAUCUACUAAAAUUGGAACAAUACAGAGAUUAGCAUGGUUCUUGUGCAAGGAUGACACGCACAUUCGUGAAAUGUUCUGUAUAUUU
Small nuclear RNA from Balaenoptera ricei (Rice's whale), 104 nucleotides. The record is from RefSeq and is a predicted model, not a curated record. Lineage: Eukaryota; Metazoa; Chordata; Mammalia; Artiodactyla; Balaenopteridae.